RNAcentral lists this ribosomal RNA (263 nucleotides) under uncultured archaeon. RNAcentral's name for it is "partial 16S ribosomal RNA". It matches the Rfam family "Archaeal small subunit ribosomal RNA", at positions 748 to 1008 of the family's 1478-position model. The record is from RNAcentral.
CAGCCGUAAACUAUGCGCGUUAGGUGUACUGGUGACCACGAGUCACCGGGGUGCCGAAGGGAAACCGUGAAACGUGCCGCCUGGGAAGUACGGUCGCAAGGCUGAAACUUAAAGGAAUUGGCGGGGGGAGGCACCGCAACGGGAGGAGCGUGCGGUUUAAUUGGAUUCAACACCGGAAAACUCACCAAGGGCGACUGUUACAUGAAAGCCAGGCUAAUGACCUUGCUUGAUUUUCAGAGAGGUGGUGCAUGGCGUCAGUGACU